GCUAAAGACCGUCGUCAGGAACACCAAAACGGAAAACUCCACCCUGCAGCCACAGCGCAGGACAGAAAUGGAGACACAGUAUGCCAGCCUCCUGCAUGCUUAAAGAGGUAACACCAGAGGAUAAGGUGGUCAAAGAGAAGCACAAUGCCACAGUUACCAAGGCUCACCUGUUCUUGAUGAAGGAGGGAAAGUGUUUCCGUGGGAACCAGAGGGCAUAGCCAACGGCCAGCACCCAGAGAA
Molecule: long non-coding RNA, 240 nt
Organism: Lepisosteus oculatus (spotted gar)
Lineage: Eukaryota; Metazoa; Chordata; Actinopteri; Semionotiformes; Lepisosteidae
Source: RefSeq, a predicted model, not a curated record